Molecule: ribosomal RNA, 481 nt
Filed under: uncultured bacterium
Lineage: Bacteria
Description: partial 16S ribosomal RNA
Rfam family: Bacterial small subunit ribosomal RNA
Source: RNAcentral
GACGAACGCUGGCGGCGUGCUUAACACAUGCAAGUCGAGCGGAAAGGCCACUUCGGUGGUACUCGAGCGGCGAACGGGUGAGUAACACGUGAGUAAUCUGCCCCUGGCUUUGGGAUAGCCACCGGAAACGGUGAUUAAUUCCGGAUACGACCACUUCUCGCAUGGGAUGGUGGUGGAAGGUUUUUUCGGCCAGGGAUGUGCUCGCGGCCUAUCAGCUUGAUGGUGAGGUAAUGGCUCACCACGGCUUCGACGGGUAGCCGGCCUGGGAGGGUGACCGGUCACACUGGGACUGAGACACGGCCCAGACUCCUACGGGAGGCAGCAGUGGGGAAUAUUGGACAAUGGGCGGAAGCCUGAUCCAGCAACGCCGCGUGAGGGAUGACGGCCUUCGGGUUGUAAACCUCUUUCAGCAGGGACGAAGCGCAAGUGACGGUACCUGCAGAAGAAGCACCGGCCAACUACGUGCCAGCCGCCGCGGUAA